Molecule: ribosomal RNA, 253 nt
Filed under: uncultured bacterium
Lineage: Bacteria
Description: partial 16S ribosomal RNA
Rfam family: Bacterial small subunit ribosomal RNA
Source: RNAcentral
UACGUAGGGGGCAAGCGUUGUCCGGAAUCAUUGGGCGUAAAGAGCGUGUAGGCGGUUUGGUAAGGCCGCUGUGAAAGUCCAGGGCUCAACCCUGGAAAGCCGGUGGAAACUGUCAAGCUUGAGUCCGGAAGAGGCGAGUGGAAUUCCUGGUGUAGCGGUGAAAUGCGCAGAUAUCAGGAAGAACACCAAUGGCGAAGGCAGCUCACUGGGACGGUACUGACGCUGAGACGCGAAAGCGUGGGGAGCAAGCAGG